CCCCUCUCAGGGUUGCACCUGAAGAGUUUCUGGUACUCUACGAGUCUUGACUAUGGGAGGGAGAGUCAAGCAGAGGCCUACUUCCAUUCCUAGCUUGGGCAGUGGCUAGUGAGUGGAAGGCAAUCUGCUACAAUU
Small nucleolar RNA from Tachyglossus aculeatus (Australian echidna), 135 nucleotides. Lineage: Eukaryota; Metazoa; Chordata; Mammalia; Monotremata; Tachyglossidae. The record is from RefSeq and is a predicted model, not a curated record.